ACGCUGACAGAAUGCUUAACACAUGCAAGUCAACUUGAAUUUGGGUUUUUAACUUAGAUUUGGGUGGCGGACGGGUGAGUAACGCGUAAAGAACUUGCCUCACAGCUAGGGACAACAUUUAGAAAUGAAUGCUAAUACCUGAUAUUAUGAUUUUAAGGCAUCUUAGAAUUAUGAAAGCUAUAUGCGCUGUGAGAGAGCUUUGCGUCCCAUUAGCUAGUUGGAGAGGUAACAGCUCACCAAGGCGAUGAUGGGUAGCCGGCCUGAGAGGGUGAACGGCCACAAGGGGACUGAGACACGGCCCUUACUCCUACGGGAGGCAGCAGUGGGGAAUAUUGGACAAUGGACCGAGAGUCUGAUCCAGCAAUUCUGUGUGCACGAUGAAGUUUUUCGGAAUGUAAAGUGCUUUCAGUUGGGAAGAAAAAAUGACGGUACCAACAGAAGAAGUGACGGCUAAAUACGUGCCAGCAGCCGCGGUAAUACGUAUGUCACGAGCGUUAUCCGGAUUUAUUGGGCGUAAAGCGCGUCUAGGUGGUUAUGUAAGUCUGAUGUGAAAAUGCAGGGCUCAACUCUGUAUUGCGUUGGAAACUGUAUAACUAGAGUACUGGAGAGGUAAGCGGAACUACAAGUGUAGAGGUGAAAUUCGUAGAUAUUUGUAGGAAUGCCGAUGGGGAAGCCAGCUUACUGGACAGAUACUGACGCUAAAGCGCGAAAGCGUGG
Molecule: ribosomal RNA, 717 nt
Filed under: uncultured Fusobacterium sp.
Lineage: Bacteria; Fusobacteriati; Fusobacteriota; Fusobacteriia; Fusobacteriales; Fusobacteriaceae
Description: bacterial SSU rRNA
Rfam family: Bacterial small subunit ribosomal RNA
Source: RNAcentral